Molecule: non-coding RNA, 593 nt
Organism: Osmia lignaria (orchard mason bee)
Lineage: Eukaryota; Metazoa; Arthropoda; Insecta; Hymenoptera; Megachilidae
Source: RefSeq, a predicted model, not a curated record
CAUACACAACUAAAGAUAUCGUGACGUUAUGUUCCCGCGAUAUUUGUCGCCGUUUCUCAAUUGUUUCAAAAUUUAAAGAGACUGAAGAAAUAUGGCGCACAGUGAGCGAUAGUGGUGACAGAAUUUCCAGGUUUUUCAAUAACUUCUGCUGAUGAGAUGCAGCAACAGGAGGAGAAGAUAGAAAUUAAAAAGAGUAGCAUCAGAGGGUGUAUUAACGAAAACAACAGGAUGUUCUUCUUCCCCCAAGAGAGAAAGGAUAAGAAGAGGAUGGCAGUGGGUGGAAGUAUGUGACAACCUAAAGUCGGUGCUUCCACCUGAAAACUGAAAUUCUGGGUGAUCUGUAGCAGCUACUUUAAAGAAAAGUACUUCAUGAGGAAAAGAUUAACAACAUCAGCAGUUCCAUCACUGAACUUAUUUGGCUGUAAUAAAUAUUGCAUGUCAGAAGCUGCCUCUAUUAAAAUAGAGCAACAAGAUACCUGGAUGCAAAUGAAAAGAAGUAUUCAGUUUACAUAUACAAUAUAUAAAACCAUUAACAUGGUAUUAAUAUAUUAAGUAUAAUCUGUGAGCAGUGUGUGUGUUUUAUUGUAUGUAUG